UUAGUACUCUCUCCGUCCAGAAAUACUUAUCAUCAAAAUGGAUAAAAAAAGAUAUAUCUAGAACUAUUUUAUCCAUUUUGAUGAAAAGUAUUUUCGGACGGAGAUACAUCUUCUUUUAUUCAUUUUGAUGACAAGUAUUUUCGGACGGAGGGGGUAUAUA
Non-coding RNA from Triticum aestivum (bread wheat), 160 nucleotides. The record is from Rfam. NCBI's taxonomy places the organism in Eukaryota, Viridiplantae, Streptophyta, Magnoliopsida, Poales, Poaceae.